AGAAAGUAGAAAGAAUAGAAAAAAAAAAAAUAAUAAUAAUAAUAAUAAUAAAAACGACGUCGUUUUAGAGAGGGGAAAAACGACGUCGUUUUGAAAGAAAGAAAAACGACGUCGUUUUGGGAUGUAGGAAAACGAUGUCGUUUUGGGGUAGGCUGGCAGAGUAUAAAAGGAGGUCGGAAAAGGGAGAAGGAGGAAGAGAGGAGAAAAGAAAAAAAAAAAGAAAGAAAAGGAAAAAGAGAAAAAGAGAAAAGGAGGGAAGGAGGACAGCGGAGACGAAGAAGAAGAGGAAAGUUCCAGAAGGAGAGAGGAGAGAGUCGGGGCGGAGGGGAGCGAGAAGGGAGAGGGAAGGAGGUCGUGGACGGACGACGCGACCGGCAGGAAGAAGGAGGAUGGAAACGGGAGGUACGGUGAAAAUUUGAGUUGUUUGGUGUGGUGUGUGUGUGUAGAGAAAUUUGGUUGCAGGUUGCGGCGUCGGCAAUGGCGCGACGGAGUGGAGCAGUGAAGGUAGGCCGUAAGCGUGGGGUUGUCCCGCGCGCUCACGGAGGUGAUCGGGGAAGGAAGGGAAAGUAUGGCGGUGUUGGGGGCGUGUGGGGGGGAGCCGUGGGGAAGGAUGGGGGUGGUACGGGUAGAACAGAGUGAGGAGGAUGUGAGAGAACAAUCUAGGGGGCGCGGGUGGGAUAAAAACUCGAGAGGACAGAAGAGGUGUGUGUGUGGUGUGUGCGUGGGUGGGGAUGUGGAGGGAGCCGUUAAUAGGCGGUGAUGUGUUUCCCCGAAAUGCACGGUGGUGAGGGCGUGUAUGUGGCGUGAAACGGUGCAAGCUGAGAGGUUAAUCGCCCUAGGUAGGCAAAAGUGUAUAGGAACCGGGAGGAGGCAGGAGGAUGGGGGAGGUAGUGGGUAGGGGGCAGUGGAAGAGGGAAGGGAGCUGGAAGGUACGGCAGAGGGGACUAGGAAGCAGGAUUUGAGGGGGAUUGGAUGGGAGAAGAGGAGUAAUGUGGUCAGUAGGAGUUAGUAAGUUAGAAUGCUUGGGACUAGCAUGGUAUAAGGGGAGAUGGGAGCAUGCGGUUUGGGAGGGGAGAUUUGGAGGCCGUUGGUAGGGGCGGGUUGAGUUGCCGAUGUUGGUGGAGCAGGGAGGGGAUAUGUAUGUGAGUGUGGCCUAGCAAGGCCGAGAGGGGUAGAAGGGUGCAUGAGUCACGGAUGGUGGUGACGGGAGGUGGAAAUGUUUGUGUGUGUGCGUGGCCCAACGAGGUCGAGAGAUGGAGGAGUGAGUAUGAGUCGCCGAUGUUGGUGACGCGAGAGGAUGGUAUUUGUGUGUGUGUGUGGCCUCUUUAGGUCGAGAGGUGGAGGAGUGAGUAUGAGUCGCCGAUGUUGGUGACGCAAGACGAUGGUAUUUGUGUGUGUGUGUGGCCUCUUUAGGUCGAGAGGUGGAGGAGUGAGUAUGAGUCGCCGAUGUUGGUGACGCGAGAUGAUGACAUUUGUGUGUGUGUGUGGCCUCUUUAGGUCGAGAGGUGGAGGAGUGAGUGUGAGUCGCCGAUGUUGGUGACACAGAAUAAUGGUGUGUGGGUGUGUGCGUGGCCUAUUAGGUCGAGAGGUGGAGAUAUAGGUGUGAGUCGCCGAUAUUGGUGACGUGGAAUGAAGGUGGUUGGGUGUGUGUGUGUGUGGCCUCGUGAGGUCGGGAGAUGGGGGAAGAGUGUAUGAGUCGCCGAUGUUGGUGACGAGAGUUAGUGGAUGAUUGUUGGGUGGGGGGGGGGGUUGUUUGGCCGUGCUAUUGCCUUGGAAUGGGACCUUGAUAAUUAGUGUAGGGAGAGGGUUAUGAGUUGUUUGGGGUUGGGUAGGAUAAAUGCAUAUAGACAUUUCUGGAAAUUCUUGUCACUGCAUAUUACACUUACAACUUGAUUUUUAUCGUAUUGAGUUAUGUGAACUCACUUCUCAUCAUUCACAGGUGGAGUAAGGACGGAAUUGGGAUCCGAGCGGCUGGUAACGGAGCCCCGUCGGUAGUGCCAUAGGGCACAAGUUUUGUUUGUGAUUUAAAGUAGUUUGAUAGGAUGGUUUAGUCUGGAUAUUGAAUAUCUAGGAAUGUUUGAUAUUGUAUUACUAUGUGUUGUAGAGGUGGAGAUGUAUGUACAAUUGAUUUGGAACAUGGAAGGUGGAUAUCUCUUGUGCAUGGUUGGAAUAAUAUGGUUUUCGGUAUUGUGUUGUAUGGGUGCUUUAUCGUACACCGUUAAGAAAAAAAAAACGGGGUGUUACA
Molecule: long non-coding RNA, 2245 nt
Filed under: Carica papaya (papaya)
Lineage: Eukaryota; Viridiplantae; Streptophyta; Magnoliopsida; Brassicales; Caricaceae
Description: long non-coding RNA (CPAP_LNC015582)
Source: RNAcentral